This 1032-nucleotide long non-coding RNA is filed under the name Cottoperca gobio. Its description in RNAcentral is "lncRNA (ENSCGOG00000003031.1)". The record is from RNAcentral. Lineage: Eukaryota; Metazoa; Chordata; Actinopteri; Perciformes; Bovichtidae.
AAGUCUGAAGAGAGGGAUGAAGUGACCACUGCGGAGUUUUACAUAAAAAAACAACUGACGUUUGUUAAAUAUAUGCAGGAAACUCCGCCGCUGGUCGUCUCUCCUCACCAAGGUUGAUAUCACUACCAUCAUCAGGGACCUGAAGGUGGGGCUGAAAAGCCUCAAGAGGUCUGUGGUGGUGCACCAAAUGGCAGUGAAGAGGGAUAAAUACUGCAAGCUGCCAAAGAGGGAGUGCAUCACCACAUUCCUCUCUGGGGCUAGGAGGAAGAUUCCAGAGCUGCUCGACAUGCUGGAGGAGGAGCAUACAAGUCACACAAGGUUUUGCUUUUAUUGCUACCAGUGUGGCUACUGGAUCUGCCUCUUCGGCCACAGGCCUGGUAUGUACUCCAACAUGACAGAUGAGGAGUUUGCGCAGGCCAAGGCCAGUGGUGGGCCCGACGGCUACCUGAUCCACAUAAGGAUUAAGAAUUCCAUCCCUUCUCUACCUCAGUGUGUCAUAAUAGAUCAAGGAGCACAGACCAACCAGUCAUUUGGAGAGGCCCAGCUGGUCCUCACUCCAGAAGAGUUUUCGUGGCUGGAUAGGUGGGCUGCCAUCAAGAAGAGGGUGAAGCCUAGUGAGAGGAAUGGCUUUGUAUUGUUCACGAAAGGCCAGGGUCCUUCCAAGAACCUCAAUGUUUAUUUGAGGAUGGCUUGGAAGGACCUGAGAUUGAAGGGGAAAUUCCAAAACAUUGUGUGUAUGAGAAAUUGGAGGUAUACUGUGGAAUGUUGUUACUGUUAUUCAUUUAUCUGCAAUUUUUCAAAUGUUUUUCAGGCUUAAGAAGUCAACCAAUUUGGAUGACAGGAAAAAUGUAGCCGACUUCAUGUGUCGUGAUGUCCGGACGGCUGACUUGUUCUACGCCAGGUGUCCGAACGUUGUGGCGGCGAAGAACAUCAGGGACAUCAUUGGAGCCAGCCUGCAAAGCAAGGAGGCCAUAGUCAGCGAGGAGGAGGAGGGAGGAGGGAGGAGGAGGAGGAAGAGGAGGAGGGGAAAAA